AUAAUGGGUCAGCGACUUAUAUUCUGUAGCAAGGUUAACCGAAUAGGGGAGCCGAAGGGAAACCGAGUCUUAACUGGGCGUUAAGUUGCAGGGUAUAGACCCGAAACCCGGUGAUCUAGCCAUGGGCAGGUUGAAGGUUGGGUAACACUAACUGGAGGACCGAACCGACUAAUGUUGAAAAAUUAGCGGAUGACUUGUGGCUGGGGGUGAAAGGCCAAUCAAACCGGGAGAUAGCUGGUUCUCCCCGAAAGCUAUUUAGGUAGCGCCUCGUGAAUUCAUCUCCGGGGGUAGAGCACUGUUUCGGCAAGGGGGUCAUCCCGACUUACCAACCCGAUGCAAACUGCGAAUACCGGAGAAUGUUAUCACGGGAGACACACGGCGGGUGCUAACGUCCGUCGUGAAGAGGGAAACAACCCAGACCGCCAG
Molecule: ribosomal RNA, 426 nt
Filed under: Escherichia coli
Lineage: Bacteria; Pseudomonadati; Pseudomonadota; Gammaproteobacteria; Enterobacterales; Enterobacteriaceae
Description: partial 23S ribosomal RNA
Rfam family: Bacterial large subunit ribosomal RNA
Source: RNAcentral